This 30-nucleotide non-coding RNA is filed under the name Mus musculus (house mouse). The record is from RNAcentral. Lineage: Eukaryota; Metazoa; Chordata; Mammalia; Rodentia; Muridae.
UCCCAUGGUGAGUUCUGAAGGUGCAGGGUU